RNAcentral lists this non-coding RNA (31 nucleotides) under Mus musculus (house mouse). The record is from RNAcentral. Lineage: Eukaryota; Metazoa; Chordata; Mammalia; Rodentia; Muridae.
UGCAAACUAUGACUAGUCACCCUGUGACUGU